Molecule: long non-coding RNA, 944 nt
Filed under: Helianthus annuus (common sunflower)
Lineage: Eukaryota; Viridiplantae; Streptophyta; Magnoliopsida; Asterales; Asteraceae
Description: hypothetical non coding rna
Source: RNAcentral
UUCUCCUACCUUCACCCGCCGAUACGAAUAAAACCCUCCCCACCGUAUACUACCAAUUGUAUCGAUCUCGAUCUUCAACUAUCAACGCCAUUUGAUCUUCAAACCUGUCUCAGGUUUGAAGGGUGACAGGUCUUGUUGAUAUGAGGUUCAGUGAGGGAUUGCUGUUGAUCCUUGUAGUUUUGGAGGUUUUGAAAAUGAUGAGUUCAUAUGUUUGUGUAGUAUAUUGUGAGAGGAGGAAGAGAUAUGUUUUAUUUGUUGCCCGAUGCUUUUAAAGGUAUUAAGCAGAGUGGUGUCAUUAGAUGGAGUUCUCAGGAGAUAGAGAGAUAAACAAAAAGGGAGAACACGCAAGAGCGAGAUCGAGAGAGAAAUAUGAGGGUGGCAGCGGAGGUGCUACGACGGCGCCAACCAUACCCCGGUGGUGAAUACAGAUGGAGCAGGUGAGUGAUGGUGGUAAUGAUUCGGCGGUGAAGACAGAUGGAGCAGGUGAGUGACGGUGGGAAUGAUUCGGUUACAGCCUUCCAUAAGGCGGUGGUCUACAAGAGCCACAUAAACAUCGUCGACGGUUCCAAUGUUAAAACGAAGAGGAAGACGAUGACAAAAAAACCCUAGCCGUUUCUUCCGGCGAUGGCAUCCAGGGUUUCGGCGAAGACUCCGACGAAGAUCUGGGUUCCAACGGUGGUUAGUGGCUGAACCAACAGUGACCACAACGAUCAUCGCAAGUAUGUUCAUCAUCUUCAAGACUUCCGAUUAGCUCCUGAUUGUUCGUAAGCUAAUUUAGCAUUUUGGGGCAUAAUGUAAAUAAAAAGUUAUAUUAUAAUAUUUUGAAUUCGUUAUGUAUUUUGUUUAGAUUUGAAUCCACUCCACUGGUAGUUUUUUCUAGAAAACAUUAAAGUAAUAAUGUUUUGGACCCUCUGGCAAUUUUUUAUUCUCUCUAAUUGAAAAUU